UAGGGAAUCUUUCACAAUGGGCGAAAGCCUGAUGGAGCAACGCCGCGUGCAGGAUGAAGGCCUUCGGGUUGUAAACUGCUUUUAUAAGCGAGAAAAUAUAGAUGGUAACUUAUGAAUAAGGAUCGGCUAACUACGUGCC
RNAcentral lists this ribosomal RNA (139 nucleotides) under uncultured bacterium. RNAcentral's name for it is "partial 16S ribosomal RNA". It matches the Rfam family "Bacterial small subunit ribosomal RNA", at positions 355 to 509 of the family's 1533-position model. The record is from RNAcentral.